CAUGCCUGUUUGAGCGUCAUUUCUCUCUCAAACCCCCGGGUUUGGUAUUGAGUGAUACUCUUAGUCGAACUAGGCGUUUGCUUGAAAAGUAUUGGCAUGGGUAGUACUGGAUAGUGCUGUCGACCUCUCAAUGUAUUAGGUUUAUCCAACUCGUUGAAUGGUGUGGCGGGAUAUUUCUGGUAUUGUUGGCCCGGCCUUACAACAACCAAACAAGUUUGACCUCAAAUCAGGUAGGAAUACCCGCUGAACUUAAGCAUAUCAAUAAGCGGAGGAAAAGAAACCAACAGGGAUUGCCUUAGUAGCGGCGAGUGAAGCGGCAAAAGCUCAAAUUUGAAAUCUGGCACCUUCGGUGUCCGAGUUGUAAUUUGAAGAUUGUAACCUUGGGGUUGGCUCUUGUCUAUGUUUCUUGGAACAGGACGUCACAGAGGGUGAGAAUCCCGUGCGAUGAGAUGCCCAAUCCUAUGUAAGGUGCUUUCGAAGAGUCGAGUUGUUUGGGAAUGCAGCUCUAAGUGGGUGGUAAAUUCCAUCUAAAGCUAAAUAUUGGCGAGAGACCGAUAGCGAACAAGUACAGUGAUGGAAAGAUGAAAAGAACUUUGAAAAGAGAGUGAAAAAGUACGUGAAAUUGUUGAAAGGGAAGGGUUUGAGAUCAGACUCGAUAUUUUGUGAGCCUUGCCUUCGUGGCGGGGUGACCCGCAGCUUAUCGGGCCAGCAUCGGUUUGGGCGGUAGGAUAAUGGCGUAGGAAUGUGACUUUGCUUCGGUGAAGUGUUAUAGCCUGCGUUGAUGCUGCCUGCCUAGACCGAGGA
This 804-nucleotide ribosomal RNA is filed under the name Meyerozyma caribbica. RNAcentral describes it as "eukaryotic LSU rRNA". The stretch from base 217 to 804 matches the Rfam family "Eukaryotic large subunit ribosomal RNA", at positions 1 to 594 of the family's 3401-position model. Lineage: Eukaryota; Fungi; Ascomycota; Pichiomycetes; Serinales; Debaryomycetaceae. The record is from RNAcentral.